UACAGAGGUGGCAAGCGUUGUUCGGAAUUACUGGGCGUAAAGGGCGCGUAGGCGGCCUUCUAAGUCAGACGUGAAAUCCCCCGGCUUAACCUGGGAACUGCGUCUGAUACUGGAGGGCUUGAGUGCGGGAGAGGGAUGCAGAAUUCCAGGUGUAGCGGUGAAAUGCGUAGAUAUCUGGAGGAAUACCGGUGGCGAAGGCGGCAUCCUGGACCGACAUUGACGCUGAGGAGCGAAAGCUAGGGGAGCAAACGGG
This 253-nucleotide ribosomal RNA is filed under the name uncultured bacterium. RNAcentral's name for it is "partial 16S ribosomal RNA". It matches the Rfam family "Bacterial small subunit ribosomal RNA", at positions 524 to 776 of the family's 1533-position model. The record is from RNAcentral.